AUCUACUGUUAAUAUUAAACACAGUGGAAUCUUUUAAUGGCAGCUGUGUCACUAUUGACAGAUUUGGAAAAAGAAUAUAUUUUUGUUGCGAUAAUUACGAAAUGAUUAAUGGUGUUUGUGUCGAGUGUAUGGACGGAUUUGAAUCUUUGGAUGGCUCCCAAUGCAGACCUUGUCACAGAGGAUUCUACGGAAGAAAAUGUAUGAGGAAGUGUUACUGUAAAAUGGAUGAAAAAUGUGACCACGUGAUAGGAUGUUUAAGAAUAUUACCUACCACAGAAGCUGUAACAGAACAUGACCAUGUUGAAG
Mytilus trossulus (common blue mussel) is the source of this 306-nucleotide long non-coding RNA. RefSeq lists it as uncharacterized. NCBI's taxonomy places the organism in Eukaryota, Metazoa, Mollusca, Bivalvia, Mytilida, Mytilidae. The record is from RefSeq and is a predicted model, not a curated record. The transcript has 4 exons.